RNAcentral lists this transfer RNA (65 nucleotides) under Amitermes sp. ANIC 0017. Its description in RNAcentral is "tRNA-Thr". It matches the Rfam family "tRNA". From Rfam's summary of the family: Transfer RNA (tRNA) molecules are approximately 80 nucleotides in length. Lineage: Eukaryota; Metazoa; Arthropoda; Insecta; Blattodea; Termitidae. The record is from RNAcentral.
GUUUUAAUAAUUUAAUAAAAAUAUUGGUCUUGUAAACCAAAAAUAAGGAACAACCUUUUAGAACU